Small nuclear RNA from Sorex araneus (European shrew), 107 nucleotides. NCBI's taxonomy places the organism in Eukaryota, Metazoa, Chordata, Mammalia, Eulipotyphla, Soricidae. The record is from Ensembl.
GUGCGCACUUCCCCAGCACAGAUACUAAAAUUGGAGCAAAAUAGAGAAGAUGGACACAGCCGUGGCACAAGGAUGACACGUAAAUUUGUGAAGCAUUCCAUAUCUUA